UUUGCUGCAAUCCCAUGUUUGUGCACCACUCUCAAUCAUCAUAUCUGGCCCGAAAUUGAAUGAACAUCCAAGUCUUCUUUCACUGACAAUCCUAUAACAUCUUUAAGAGUAAAGCUCUAAAGAUAAAGGAGAAAGAAAAAAAUCAAGGGAUUUAACAUGUUAGCAUAACAAACCUGGAUUAUAGAAAAUGACAAUAAAUUCCAAUUAUUCUCAACACUUAAGCUAAUUAAGUGACCUGAACACAUACAACAGAAGAUAUUACCAUCAUCAUAAAUUACCAAAAGGUACAUCAAAAUUCUCUAUCUAGAUAUUUAUUGAACCCCAAUACAAUAAAGUAAAAUCAAUUGCAUUAAGAAACUUAUCUCACAACAGACUAUUGUUAACUGUUAAGGAGCAAUAUAUUCUAUUUCACACCAUCUAGACAUUUAUUAGAAGCAUAAGAUGACAAUAUCUAUAUUAUCUCAAAUAACUUACAUCACUGGUGAAGAAGCUUUGAGCGUUGAUGGUUCGUUUGAAACCGAUCUAACUUUCAAUGUUUACAGAAUUUCUCUAACCCUUUCUAAGCUCAUCCAUCGAAUUCGUCUCCUUCACUCUUUCUUUGUCUUCUUCCUUUACUGGUUCUAUGUUUUCUCAUUGAUAUCAUCUCAACCUUAUGCUAACUCAAUUAAUCUCAUUUUAUUACAAUUCAGUCUCUCAGACCCUAAUUUCUCAUCAUAUUUUCUCUAUUUCAACAAAUCAUUCAUUCAAAUUUCUUAAGUUAAGAAGAAAAGUAGAACAAGAAGAAGACCUAACCUAUGGCUUCGAUUCAACGUGCUACUAUGAUUUCAGGUUCAGAAGGUGGAGAUCCUGCUACCAUCAAAUCGCGAAUCCGCGAGGAGAUAGAAGCUUUAGGAAGACUUAAUUGAGGAAGUGAAUUGAUUGCAAGGAGAAAGUUGAGACAAUAUAGAAGCUAAAAGCGGUGAU
This 963-nucleotide long non-coding RNA is filed under the name Lupinus angustifolius (narrow-leaved blue lupine). RNAcentral describes it as "long non-coding RNA (LANG_LNC001359)". The record is from RNAcentral. Lineage: Eukaryota; Viridiplantae; Streptophyta; Magnoliopsida; Fabales; Fabaceae.